AGACCAUUCUUCUCAUACCGGAGCCGAUCCAAGUAUCCUGCCCCACAAGAAGUUGGAAUGGAUCCCUGCACCAUUCUGGAAUGUCUAUUAUCUAUUCUAGAAUACCAGGCCAAAAUUAGAAACGGGGGUGAGAUACUUUGAAGGGUCAAUAAAUCAGGGCCAAAUAGCUCAUUCUCCUCUCUUUGAGUAAGGUGACCAGACGUCCCGCUUUUGGCGGGACAGUCCCGCUUUUGAGCAAUUUGUCCCGCGUCCCGCGGCGUUUUAAAAAAGUCCCGAUUUUUCAUUCUGCCUCCUGAGUCCCAGCUGAUGACUAGAGGGAAAAAAACUGUUUAAACUCUUGCCGCGGGGCUUCAAAGGGCCGCCCUACAGCUGAUUAGCUCGGCUUCCCCCUCUCAGCUGUUUUGCGGAGGGCUCUUGCUGCUUGCUAAAUUGCUCCAGCAGAUUUUUUUUUCUCCUUGUGCAAACCAAGCUCAAAAGGAAACUGAAAGUGAAACAGGCUGUUGGCUUGUUUGGUGCAACGUUGGAAAAUUAGGCAGCAGAAUUCUUUUCUUUUUCCUCACCAAAAAAGCCCAUCAACUGAGACUCAGGAGGCAGCAAUAGAUUGGGGGUGUGGCCAAAUAAAAGAUGUUAAUGUUUUGGCUUGGGGGCACUCAAAACAGUAAAGCAUAGAACAGGAAGUCGGAUCAGCCAAUCAGCAUGCAGGAUGCGCACCUCUGCACAGUUGGGAUUUGAAAGAUGUGCACAUCGGCCCACCUGCAGCCAUCGGCAACCUUCACUUACUCAUCAAUCCCUUUGCAGUGUAGGUAUGCACCAAUGGCUACGGACAGUUGCAGUCAACUCUAAAUCAGCAUUAAGAGAGCACAGCGUGCAAGCGUGCAAGUGCAGGAAGGCCAGGAAAAAGAGUGUAGAGCAACAACUAAGGGACAUGGAUUACCAAUGAUCACCACUCCUAGUCUCGUGGACAGUGAAUAUACAGAAAGUCCUCAACUGAUGACCCUAAUAAAACCUGCCUUUUACAGUCAUAAUUCGCAAUGGUCAUAAAGCAGGUCACUCACAUGACCAACCCAAUUUUAUAACCUUUUUUUUUUUUGUAUGGUCUUUAAGCAAUUGUUAAGCAAAUACCAUGGUUUUUAAGUGACUCCAUUGUUCACUAUGGGGUGUUUUUGCAAAAAACAACAACCGAGAAGUAAAUGCCAGUUUUCUGUAUAAAUGUUGUAAAUUGCAGUUGCAUGAUUGCGGGAUGCUGCAAAAGGCUUUAAAUGGGCCAAAAUGAUUUAAUUUGAUUUUAUCUGGUUUUUAAAUUUUUUGUAUCUAUGUAUUUUAUUGUUUGGCUGUUCACCGCCCUGAGUCCUUCAGGAGUAGGGCGGUAUACAAAUCAAAUAAACUAAACUAAACUAAA
Pantherophis guttatus is the source of this 1399-nucleotide non-coding RNA. Lineage: Eukaryota; Metazoa; Chordata; Lepidosauria; Squamata; Colubridae. The record is from RefSeq and is a predicted model, not a curated record.